This 464-nucleotide ribosomal RNA is filed under the name uncultured bacterium. RNAcentral describes it as "bacterial SSU rRNA". It matches the Rfam family "Bacterial small subunit ribosomal RNA", at positions 331 to 793 of the family's 1533-position model. The record is from RNAcentral.
CCAGACUCCUACGGGAGGCAGCAGCGAGGAAUAUUGGUCAAUGGGAGGAAUCCUGAACCAGCCAUGCCGCGUGCAGGACGACGGCUCUACGAGUUGUAAACUGCUUUUGUACCGGGGUAAAAUGCCUUACGAGUAGGGUUUUGAAAGUACGGUACGAAUAAGGAUCGGCUAACUCCGUGCCAGCAGCCGCGGUAAUACGGAGGAUCCGAGCGUUAUCCGGAUUCAUUGGGUUUAAAGGGUGCGCAGGCGGCGAUUUAAGUCAGCGGUAAAAUUUCGGGCCCCAACCCCGACAAGCCGUUGAAACUGGCUUGCUAGAGUGGGCGAGAAGUAUGCGGAAUGCGUGGUGUAGCGGUGAAAUGCAUAGAUAUCACGCAGAACUCCGAUUGCGAAGGCAGCAUACCGGCGCCCAACCGACGCUCAGGCACGAAAGCGUGGGUAUCGAACAGGAUUAGAUACCCUAGUAU